UACGGAGGGGGCCAGCGUUGUUCGGAAUCAUUGGGCGUAAAGGGCGCGUAGGCGGCCGAGCAAGUCGGAUGUGAAAUGCCCCGGCUCAACUGGGGACUGGCAUCCGAUACUGCCUGGCUCGAGUCCUGGAGAGGGUAGUGGAAUUCCCAGUGUAGCGGUGAAAUGCGUAGAUACUGGGAGGAACACCGGUGGCGAAGGCGGCUACCUGGACAGGUACUGACGCUGAGGCGCGAAAGCUAGGGGAGCAAACAGG
RNAcentral lists this ribosomal RNA (253 nucleotides) under uncultured bacterium. Its description in RNAcentral is "partial 16S ribosomal RNA". It matches the Rfam family "Bacterial small subunit ribosomal RNA", at positions 524 to 776 of the family's 1533-position model. The record is from RNAcentral.